Delphinapterus leucas (beluga whale) is the source of this 3677-nucleotide non-coding RNA. NCBI's taxonomy places the organism in Eukaryota, Metazoa, Chordata, Mammalia, Artiodactyla, Monodontidae. The record is from RefSeq and is a predicted model, not a curated record.
UAAGUUGCUGUUUGCAUUUUUAUGUUUCUGGUAGGUUGGUUAUGUUUCCUGACCUUGGAGAAGUGGCCUCCUCUAGGCGACAUCUUAUGUGUCCCAGCAGUGCAUUCCCCUCUUAUCACCCAAGCUAUAUGCUCUGGUGGUUUCCUGCUAUGAGGGCUGUGUGGGUCCUUCUGUUGUGGUGAGCUAACUAUGUGGGCCGUCUGGUAGGCUUGGUUGGCCCCUGUUCAGGUUGGUUGCUAAGCCCUGCCCUGUGCAGAGGCUGCUGGCCACUGGUUGGCAUGACCAGGUCACAAGAUGGCUGACUGCAGAACCCCAGGGGCCCCAGGGCUAGUGCUGGCUCACUGGUGGGUAGAGUCAGGGUCUAGAAAACACCAGGGCUGUUGCCCAUCCUAUGGUGGGUGAAGCAAAGUCCUGGGGUUAGUGCUGGUCUACUGGUAGGCAGAGCCAGGUCCUGGAGUCUGGAUGCAAGGCCAAUGGUCCCAGAUCUGUUGUCAGAUCGCUGGGGGGAAGGGGGAGGGGCUGUUCCUGACACAGUUGGGUAUGGGGUUUGCGAUGUCCCAGAGCUUAUGUUGACCUGCUAGUGGCCAGGGUCAGGACCCAGGCCCAGAUAGUCCCAGGACAUGGUCUGGCCUAUUGAUGGGCUGCAUGGGUCUGCCGCCUGUGGGAUUGUGGUUUUCUUGCAUCUGGUGUCUGCCCCCUGGUGGCUGAGGCUGGUCCAGAGGCUAGAACUGGCUGCCUGGACAGCACGGCCAGGGCAGGGCUGGGUCUUGGGGCUAAAAAUCAGAGGGAGGAUUCGACGAUGGCCCUUGCCAACACCAAUGUCCAUGUGGUAGAAGGAACUCCCAAGAAUGGCUGCCACCAGUGUCGAUAUGUCCCCAGGGUGAGCUGCAGCUGCCUCCUGCCUCUUUAGAAGACUCUCCAAGAUCAGCAGUUGUAGAAGAUCUUUUCUGGAAGGUUCUGGUCUUUUUCAUCAAAAGUUAUUCUGCAAAUAGCUGUGAUUUUGGUGUGCCCAUGAAAGAAGGUGAGCUCAGCAUCUUUCGAUUCCACUGUCUUGGCCAGUCCCUCCAGAAUGAACUUUUAAAAGAAUAUUGAGUCUCUUGCAGAAUUACAAAGAGGGCUAGAGCUAUAUACAGCCAGAAACAAUGAAUGCCUGAAAUCAUAUCAUUUUGGCCACAAGACAGCUACUGUCCUUGAGGCUAAAUGCUUAUUACCUUAUGGCUGACCCCACUAACGCUGGACACUGUUUCCUACCACUGCCAGACUUCCUCACAGUCCCCCCAUCUUUUGGUCAGUUGCUCCCAAACCACAGUCCCUUCCAAUUUGAAGUGAAACAUGUUGUUAUGCCCACGAGAGAGUAUAUAGGAAGGCACCUAACAGGCAUUUCAACUGUGGUAGGAGGUGAGUGCUGCCCUCUACCAAGACCCACAAGGUAGAGAUUUCCGCAAACACAGAAAGGGGAUUGAGGCCAUAGGUGGCCCAAAAGAACAUAUCUUCUGCUAGGUUUUAGACCCGUGUGGAUUCAUCUUUAAUGUAUUAACCACCUGGAGCUCUUGCUAAAUGCACAUUACAAUUGAGAGGGCUGGAAGGAGGGGGGCUUGGCUUAGCCACAAUGGAGACUGAGGCAAAAGGAAAAAUCAGUAAUACUGACCCUGUCUUUAUUUAAAAUUUUGAUAUUUGUUCAUCAUGGAAUUUGCGUUAACCUUGAUUUUUAAAAUAUUGCAUUAAAAUAGCAUUCCUCUUGAUUACUUGGUUUUUUGGCACCCAAGGCAAGUGCCUUGCUCACGUCACUCACUUUGCCCUUGUCUGGCCUCGUGAGUCAGUAGGUCUGGUCUGCGGCCCUAAGCUGCGUUUCUCACAUGCUCUCGGCUUGUGCCCAUGCUGUUGUUCCGUGGCCCACGCUUUGAGUAAAGAGGUUGUAGGAUCAUUUUGUCUGAGAUGCCAGACCAUUCAAUUCCAGUUUAGGAUUGAGAUAAACAUUUUAUUUGUCCCUACUCAUUAUUUUUCUCCAAAAACAUCUAGUUAAAAGUAUAAUAAGGUACCAUAUAAAAUGCCUUGAAAUUUUUCUUUCUCAACAAAAGCUUUGUAUAAAUACAAGCUUUCUAUAGAUGGUCAUUGAAAUCAGUAAAAACUUCAGCUUGAAAUUCCAUCAGUGCCGAAGAUCUUGUGGGUAUUUUUUAUUGAAAGAUCUUUUUCCUUCAAUAAUGGUCAUUUUACAUUAAAACUUUAUACAACCAAAAUCUCAAAAUAAUAAUAAAAUCACACUAAGGUAUUUUUAUUGUUAAGUCUCUACUUCAUUUUAUUGUUGAUAAAAAUAUUGCAAGACAAUUGUAACUCUAAUGUUUCUGCUUUAAAAUAAGCAAUUAAAACUAAACAUCACAAGAAGAGGCAAUGAAUACAUACAAUUUGCUAAUAACUGGCUAAAAUGAUAAUUUAAUAGUAAUUAAUGUAUAAGAAACAAUUGCACUUGAAAAAUUAAAAAAGUAAAGAAAAAACCUCUAGUUUUGUAAUAUGUCUUAUGAACAGAGGUUAAUCAUCUAUAACCUUGCCAGGAGAAGUGUAUGUUUGUUUAAAUUAAAAAAAAAAAAAGCUUGUGUAUUUAACUAGCAAUCAUUCAUUUCUCUUAAGUCUUGAAUUUUUUAUAUGCUUUAUAGAAUUUCCCCCAUAGUUUGUUGAUCAGAAAAGACUGCAACACAACUAAAGCAAAAUAACACUUCAUUGGUAUUUAGUGCAAAGUAGGAGUAAUUUUUACAUGAAAUAUUAAACAUGUAGCCUUUAGAAGUUGUUGGAAGUAAGUGUUAUGACUUACUUCCAGUAUACUUUCCUCAGUAUACUCUUAAAAAGAUUUUGAUGGAAAUUUUUUAACUGAGGUAUUUCUCCUCCUUUGUAUGGGAUCAGUGGUAGGUAAGCCAGUACAGAGUUGACUUGUCUACCAUUCUUUGUUAAUGAUCUGAUUUAUGCACCUGUUCUCUGCCAUUACUGUGAUAUUAUUCAAAGCUGACAGGAUGACAGAAAAAGACAAUGCAGAAGAAUUAAUGUAGCAGUAUAAUUCCAGGGCUCUAGGUGGAGAGAUUCCUAUUAAGAAGUGUUAUAUUAGUGAGGAAAUCAUUGAAACUAACAAAUGUCUACAUAUUUGAUUUAGAAAUGAACAUCACUGUGGAAAACAUGCAGUGGAAUAUUAAUUGCUUCUCAUAGCCAUAAAAAAAUUAACGUUCCAUUGGUUCUUAACAGUCUGAAGGUCCACUAUAUAUAAUAUUAACUCCAACUUGCAAAAGUACAACUAUCCACUUCACCACACAUGCCAGCUGCUACCAUGAGGCUGAGCCAUCGUUUCCAGAAAGAAAAUGCCUUGUAUAUGGUAAAUAACUUCACUGUCAUCCUUUCUUUAAGGUACAUAAUAGUGUAACAGCACACUGUCUACUGAGUAAGCAUAGAGGAAAAUGAUACUAAUAAAAUACUAAUGUGUUUUUGUAGGAGAGGAGAAAAGGAUGUAAUUCCUUCCCCUGCUGUACUAGGCAAAGGAUUUGUACUUAGAUUUUGAAGUCAGGAUUGAAGAAAAAGGUAAUAUGCCAACACCACGAAAUGUAGGUUAGUACCAGCAAUGUGUGGGUUUGCUGUAUUUCUGUGUGUCAUGUAAAGCAAAUUUAGGGAAAUAAAAGUGAAUAUAUGUGGCUUUUAAA